This 670-nucleotide unclassified non-coding RNA is filed under the name Cyperus salzmannianus. RNAcentral's name for it is "partial contains trnH gene (partial), trnH-psbA IGS and psbA gene (partial)". The record is from RNAcentral. Lineage: Eukaryota; Viridiplantae; Streptophyta; Magnoliopsida; Poales; Cyperaceae.
CUAUUUUUUCCAUUCAUCAUUAUUGUUUUUAUUCUGACCUCUUAGAUUGAAGUAUUUGACAUGGAAUCUCCAUAUUUACUAAAAANAAAAAANNGGNAAUAAUAAAUCUAUAAAUGUUAUACAGAANGAUCNGGAAAGAGAUACUUUUAUGUCCGUAACCGAAGCUCAAAAUUAUCUGUCGAUCGCAUAGCAAAUNAAAAAAAAAANUCCUUAGUAAUAUGAGUUCUUUUUCUCAAUUAUUUUGAGUAUUGAAUUUAGAUAAAAAAAANNCAUUGAGUUAAGAUCAAUAAAAAUUUUUGGUGNAAAAAAUUAUUUAUAAUCCNUAUUUUGAAAAAUAAAAAANNNNNCUGAAAAAAAUGGAGAAUUUCUACUACUUAGUUUAGAAAAACUAANUCGUCUUUUUUCUAUAUUAAUUUUUAAAAAUUAACGAGAAUCAAGUGUAUUAAUCCUCUAGGUAUACUUACGCAAUAUACCUUUAUUUAUAUUAUAUUUUNAUAAACCUCCAGGUAUACUUACCCNAAUAGAGAUAUUUUAGAGACUACUAUACUAUAGUAGUAUAUUUUUUUCCUUACCCAAUAUAUUAGUCUAAAAAACUAAUAUAUUGGGUAUAUUGGGUAUUUCUCAAAUUAAUAUUCAAAUUUUUAAUAUAAUGAACAAUUCAAAAGAUCUA